Molecule: ribosomal RNA, 468 nt
Filed under: uncultured bacterium
Lineage: Bacteria
Description: partial 16S ribosomal RNA
Rfam family: Bacterial small subunit ribosomal RNA
Source: RNAcentral
GACGAACGCUGGCGGCGUGCUUAACACAUGCAAGUCGAACGGAAAGGCCCUGCUUUUGUGGGGUGCUCGAGUGGCGAACGGGUGAGUAACACGUGAGUAACCUGCCCUUGACUUUGGGAUAACUUCAGGAAACUGGGGCUAAUACCGGAUAGGAGCUCCUGCUGCAUGGUGGGGGUUGGAAAGUUUCGGCGGUCGGGGAUGGACUCGCGGCUUAUCAGCUUGUUGGUGGGGUAGUGGCUUACCAAGGCUUUGACGGGUAGCCGGCCUGAGAGGGUGACCGGCCACAUUGGGACUGAGAUACGGCCCAGACUCCUACGGGAGGCAGCAGUGGGGAAUAUUGCACAAUGGGCGGAAGCCUGAUGCAGCAACGCCGCGUGCGGAAUGACGGCCUUCGGGUUGUAAACCGCUUUCGCCUGUGACGAAGCGUGAGUGACGGUAAUGGGUAAAGAAGCACCGGCUAACUACGUG